Molecule: long non-coding RNA, 720 nt
Filed under: Homo sapiens (human)
Lineage: Eukaryota; Metazoa; Chordata; Mammalia; Primates; Hominidae
Description: non-protein coding SRRM2-AS1:18
Source: RNAcentral
GCGCAGGCGCCGAAGCCACACCGCGAAGUACCGUUUUUUCAGGCACAAGGAAGGUUUCACCCCGUUGCCGAAAGACUAAGCGUCCCGUUGGCCAGUGCAACGAAGAACGGAGGAAGCGACUGUGGUGGACGGUGGUGCCCCAAAACUUCACAACCACCUAGACAUUCGGAAGGUGACCUUAUUUGGAAUAAGAGAUUUUGCAGAUGUAAUUGAGUUAAAGAUCUGAAGAUGAAAUCAUCAUGAAUUUAGGGUAGGCCGUAAAUCCAAUGACUGACAUCCUUACAAGAAGACAAGAGGACACAGGCACCCGGGGGAAGAGGCCGUAGGAGACCCAGGCAGAGAUUCGGAGCGGUGCCCAUGCCAGGGAUCUCCAGGAGGAGCCAGAAGCUGGGAGAGGCCCUGCAGAUCCUCUCCCAGAGCCUUUGGAGGAGGCACAACCCUGUCCACACCUUGGUCUCCACUUUCUGGCCUCCAGAGCUGUAGGGGAACCCACUUCUGUGGUUUGAAGCCACCAAGUUCGUGGUGACUUAUGGCAGCCCUAGGAAAGUGACAUGCACAGGUAAACCACAUUCACUGCAGGAAAUAUACAAAUCAGCAAAAAGAAAAAAAGCACACAGGGGCACCACCCCCAGAGACAGCCAUGGCUGACAUCCUAGCGGCUGUCACCUCGGAGUGAUGUUCCUAAAAUGCAAACUUCUGAACUGCUUAAAACUCUUCCAG